UGGAAAAAUGUGGGAGGAAAGUAAGAAAGCAACACUGCUGGUGGACCGAAGAGAGUAACGCGGCCAUUGGACAAAUGUGGGAGGAAAGUAAGAAAUCAACACUGCUGGUGGACCGAAGAGACCUUUAGGUUGCAUAAUUUUUGUAAGAUGAUCUACUCUGGAAAACAACAUGCCGUGUUGUUUUAAUAAAACAUCACAAAGUUUGUUCUGCUGCCUCUUUGUUUGU
This 226-nucleotide long non-coding RNA is filed under the name Brassica napus (rape). RNAcentral describes it as "long non-coding RNA (BNAP_LNC021763)". Lineage: Eukaryota; Viridiplantae; Streptophyta; Magnoliopsida; Brassicales; Brassicaceae. The record is from RNAcentral.